RNA transcript from Setaria italica (foxtail millet), 4519 nucleotides. It is a transcript of the gene named putative disease resistance RPP13-like protein 3, with no coding region annotated. Lineage: Eukaryota; Viridiplantae; Streptophyta; Magnoliopsida; Poales; Poaceae. The record is from RefSeq and is a predicted model, not a curated record. The transcript has 8 exons.
CAGAGAGAAUAGUUUACCUUUGAGAGCUAUCCGAAGUAGCGGGCUAGCUGCUAGCAAUAGCGCCCAGCUAGUCCAACAUGGAUCUGGUGACUGGGGCAGUUGGCAGCCUCGCCUCCAAGCUGCUCCAGCUACUCGUCGAGGAGUACAAGCUGCAGACGACAGGCCUGAAGAAGCAAGUCCAGUCUCUCUCGGCGGAGCUAGAGAGCAUCCACCCUUUCCUCAACAAGGUCGCCAACGUGCCGUGGUACCUGCUCGAUGAGCAGAUCAAAGUCUGGGCACGUGAGGUCAGGGACAAGUGCUACGACGUGGAGGAUGUCUUCGACACCUUACUCGUCCAAUUCGAGGGCCCUGAGACUGCCGAUCCGAGCAGACUCAAACGCGCCAUGCACAAGAUGGGUGACUUGUUCGCCAAGGUCAAGGCUCGCCAUGACAUUGCCAACGACAUAGAAGACAUCAUGAGGCAACUCGAAGAGGUUGCCGAGAGGCGUAACAGGUACAAAAUUGAUGAUUCCAUUGAGGUCAAGCCUGCAUCCAAAACAAUCGAUCCUCGCCUUUCGGCUCUCUACACAAAGCCUUCACAGCUCGUUGGCAUCAACGAGCCAAGGGAUGCCCUCAUUGAGAUGCUGUCCAUAGGUGGGCAGGAGAAGAAGAUAGUCUCCAUUGUCGGGUCUGGAGGAUUGGGCAAGACCACCCUUGCCAUGGCAGUGUACGACAAGCUUACAAAGAUUAAUGGACGAUUUGAUUGCGGUGCUUUUGUUCCAGUGGGACCAAAUCCAGACAUUAAGAAAACCUUGAGGGACAUUCUUAUUGAUCUCAUCAAGACGUCAAACAUGAUCAAUGCUUUUGAUAAUAGAAGGCUCAGCCUUCUUGGUGAUCUAAAGGAAUUGGAUGAAAAGCAGCUCAUCGAUUCACUCCGUGAGCACCUUGAAGGAAAAAGGUACUUCAUUGUUCUCGACGAUAUAUGGGAGAAAAAAACAUGGAGAUUUGUUGAACCUGCUUUUGUUGACGGUAAAUGUGGAAGUAGAAUACUCACAACUACGCGUAACUCUGAAGUUUCAAAGGAAAUUGGUGAAGUUUAUAAAUUAGAUGAACUUUCUGAUAAGAACUCCAAAAAACUAUUCUAUUCGUUAACAUUCGGCGGGGAAGAAAAACGUCCUUGUAGUGAUAAUUUGGAUAUGGUUUCUGAUACAAUUAUACAUAAAUGUCGUGGCCUACCAUUAGCCAUUAUUACAAUAGCUGGGGUGCUGGCUAGGAAACCAAUAGAGGAGUGGUCUGAUGUGUACAACUCGAUUGGUUUUGGUCCUGACGAGAACGAAGUUGAAGAUAUGAAAAAGAUAUUAUCGUUUAGCUACUACGACUUACCUUCUCAUCUAAGGACCUGCUUAUUGUAUCUAAGUAUAUUUCAAGAAGAAUAUUUUAUAGAUAAAAGGGAAUUGAUAUUGAGGUGGAUAGCUGAAGGUUUUAUCUACGAGGAAAGAGGGAAAGCGUUUUUUGAUGUCGGAGAUAGCUAUCUCCGUGAACUCAUGAAUAGGAACUUGGUCAUACCUACAGAGGAGAAAAGCUCAGGGCUUUUACGAGGUUGCCGUGUCCAUGACAAGCUACUUCGUCUCAUAAGACAAUUGUCAACUGAAGAGAACUUUGCUGUUGUACUGGAUAAAGACCAACGGUCAUCAGUUGCACAAGUCAAAGUUCGUCGCUUAGCCCUCCGAACGUUAACAGAAGAAACUAAUUAUAAUAAGGAUGAUUUGGCACGAGUGAGGUCCUUUAAUGCCAUAAUAUGUUUUACAAAACUGAUUCCCCCAGUGUGCAGCUUUAAAGUUUUGCGAGUCCUAGUUCUGGAGUAUUGUAUUGGUAUGGAAGGUUAUCCUAUCAAACAUAUUGCUAAGUUACUCCAUCUGAGGUACAUUGCGCUAUCGCAUACACCUGUUCGUAAGCUCCCCAAAGAAAUAGGGAAUCUUAAGUUUCUGCAAACACUGCUAUUGGAUGACACCGGGAUAAAAGAACUGCCAGCCAGUGUACGCUUGCUGAAACAAUUGAUGUGCCUGCGAGCUGAUGAGAAGACAAGAGUGCCGGAUUGGAUCGGGGAGAUGACGUCCCUAGUGGAGCUAGAGAUGUACCACGAAUUGCUGCCGAACUUUCUUCUUAGGGAGGCACCCCGCGUACAGGAGCAAGAGAUGCACAGUGGUGCCGACAACAAGUGCUCUACAAGAAAGUUUGUCAAGGAAUUGGGCAAGCUGAUAAAUCUCAGGGUACUUAAGUCUGGCAUUAAACUACAAGAUCAAGAGGAGGGGAGAGAUUUUCUGGCGUCUCUAAGCAAGCUCCACAAGAUCCAAGACAUAUCCAUGUUACUGACGGCAUACUUAGAGAUGGAUGUGGGUAGAGAACCUAGUUUUGCCCUCUCCUCAAGCCUCCGUACGCUUCAACUGUUGAAUGUGCAUUUCUCAAAGGUUCCGGCAUGGAUGAAUGGCCAACGUCUUCCCAACCUCUGCCAGUUGAAGGUGCUGGUGAGUAAUACGGACGAACAGGAUCUGAGAAUUCUUGGGACGUUACAAAAGCUCCGCCACCUCGUGCUAAUGGAUAUAAGAUACCACAAAUUAAAACUUACUAUUUGUGGGUGUGGAGGAUUCCAGAAUUUGAGAUUCUUACAUCUCGGUGGAUCACCGUUACAGUUUGUACCGGGAGCAAUGCCAAGGCUUGAAGACAUCACUUUUAGUGUCAAUGUGUUUGAGUUGGUAGAUGCCAACAUCAGUUUCGACUUCGGCUUGGAAAAUCUUUCAUCUCUUCAGUCUGUGACUGUCGGCGUGCACUGUGCGGAUGCAUGUCUUAGGGAAGUGGAGGAAGCAGAGGCUGCGAUCAGGCACGCUGUUGACAUCCACUCCAAACAUCCAUCACUUUUAGUGAAAAGGAUGGAUGAGGACAAAAUGGGGACCGUGGAUGCAGAUUCAAGGGAAGUUUCUCGGCUAAUGUACAAGAUGUUGCGGGAUUCCACGCUCAGUGAGCAAAUCAAGAAGCUCAAUGACCAAAUCGACGUUCAGAACAAUUGUAAUAGCACACUGUAUAGUCAGGCCCAAGAAAUGGCGCAUUCCAUACCGGAGGGGCAUCCCAGCAUUGCAAAGCAGAUCCAGUGGUCCUCGGUAACCCUGCUGGAGAUGGUGGCGCUCCGAAAGCAACUUGCCGACACAUUUCAAACGAUAAAUGAUACGUCAGACCCUGAUCAACUGAUGCAACAUAUUAAGCUUCAGGAACGAUUAUUCGAGCUGUACAAAGUUGAAAAUAAGCGAAUGGCCGCAAUCGUGGAGGAACUGAAAGCUGAGCUCAAGAUAUCUGAUAAUGUCGCCGAUGCUGAGGAGCAUGGAGAGUAGUAGUAAUACUGAGGCACGCAUCCUUGGAGGCCGCAGGUACCUGGUAUGUCGAUGGACGCAUACUCCACAGGGAGGCCCGCUGCUGGUUCUUCAAUGCUAUACCAAACUCAGGAGGCUUCAUUUGGACCAUGUUCAAAUAAUUGGAGAUCUUCCAGGGUUGCUAUUAAAUUGUUCUAUUCUUGAGGAUUUGGAGCUUAUCGCCUGCUCUGGUGUGGCUGAUCUGAAUAUACCACACCAACUAGCUAAACUUAGACAUUUGCUAAUUUCCAAUAUGUGUGUCCACAAGGUCGAUUUUCAUGUUACCGGCCUUACUCAUUUUGGAUACAAAGGAGAUGUGAUUCCUAUAGUGCUUCAUGGUUGCACAAAAUUAGAGAAGGUAACUCUCACAUUUCAGAUGCCGUUGCAUGAACAAGUCAGCAAUAAAGGUCUGGGCCAUGCCAUCACUGGAAUUCCCAGUAUUUCGGCAGUCAAAGAGCUAAACAUACGUGCUUAUAUGCAGGAAGACCAACCGAUCUGGUUCUCACAGGUGCAUAUAUAGGAUGACAAGACCGACAUUCAUGUUUGUGAAUUUGAGGCAUCUGACCUGUGAAAUAACUAUUUUCACCAAUAGCCCAAAUACGCACACUGGAAUUCUUCAGCUGGCUCACUGUUUGGAUUGUGCACCCCAACUGGAGACACUGAAACUGCAUAUGCAAUACCAUGUGAUGGGCAGCCACUGCUGGCCUGGUGAGGGAAUCCUCCCUAUGCGCCGCCUAGAUCACCUCAAGACAGUCUACACGAGCGGGUUCCGGUGCUACCGGCCUCAGGUCAAGCUGCUGCAUGGCAGUCUGGAAAAUAGUGCUGCGCUGGAGCAUGUAACCAUUGAACCAACGGUGACGCUGUAUGUUGAUAGCAUAGCGAACAUAGGUGUACCUGAGGACAAGAUUUGUGAAUGGGCGCACCGUGCCUCGGAACGCUUUGGUAAAGCCAUCACUGUCGUAAAAGCCCAUCGACGGCGGUGGUUGUAGUGCCGUGCAUACAACUUGUAUUUACUUAGGGUUGAGUGAGUGAGCAAAAGUGUGUUGUUUACUGUACGUGCUUUGUUUCCAUGAGAGUAAAUUUGUGUCCGUGUUAAGAUUAUGACAGUGAAAGUCUUGGAGCUGGUCCUUUUUGUUUUA